GGCUGGUCCUAGUGCAGUGAUGUUUGCAACCAAUUGAUCAUAACCAGAUUCGUUUAUUCCUUUUCCACUCCCACUGCUUCAUUUGAAGGCUUAA
Molecule: non-coding RNA, 94 nt
Filed under: Carlito syrichta (Philippine tarsier)
Lineage: Eukaryota; Metazoa; Chordata; Mammalia; Primates; Tarsiidae
Source: RNAcentral